CCAGACUCCUACGGGAGGCCGCCGUGGGGACUCUUUCACAAUGGGCUCCCGCCUGAUGCCGCCCUGCCGCGUGUCUUCCGAAGGCCUUCGUGUUGUAAAGUCCUUUCAGCGGGGCGGCCGGUGUUGUGGUUCCUCACCACAGCCCUUGCCGUUACCCGCCGCCGAAGCACCGGCUCCCUCCGUGCCCGCCGCCGCGGUCCUCCGGAGGGUGCCCGCGUUAAUCGGAAUUCCUGGGCGUAAAGCGCACGCAGGCGGUCUGUCAAGGCGGAUGUGAAAGGCCCGGGCUCAACCGGGGAACUGCAGGCGAAACUGGCAGGCGGGAGGCGGGGAGAGGGGGGGAGAAGUCCAGGUGGAGAGGUGAAAUGCGGAGAGAUCUGGAGGAAGACCGGUGGCGAAGGCGGCCCCCUGGACAAAGACUGACGCGCAGGUGCGAAAGCGGGGGGAGCAAACAGGAGGAGAUACCCGAGUACU
RNAcentral lists this ribosomal RNA (471 nucleotides) under uncultured bacterium. Its description in RNAcentral is "bacterial SSU rRNA". It matches the Rfam family "Bacterial small subunit ribosomal RNA", at positions 331 to 794 of the family's 1533-position model. The record is from RNAcentral.